GGGGAAUCUUCCGCAAUGGGCGAAAGCCUGACGGAGCAACGCCGCGUGAGUGAAGAAGGCCUUCGGGUUGUAAAACUCUGUCAUCAGGGAAGAAGAAAGUGACGGUACCUGAGGAGGAAGCCCCGGCUAACUACGUGCCAGCAGCCGCGGUAAAACGUAGGGGGCGAGCGUUGUCCGGAAUUACUGGGCGUAAAGGGCGCGUAGGCGGUUAUCCAAGUCAGGGGUGAAAACCUUGGGCUCAACCCAGGGCCUGCCUCUGAAACUGGGUGACUUGAGGGCAGGAGAGGGGAGUGGAAUUCCCGGUGUAGCGGUGAAAUGCGUAGAUAUCGGGAGGAACGCCAGUGGCGAAGGCGGCUUCCUGGCCCGCGACUGACGCUCAUGUGCGAAAGCCAGGGGAGCGAACC
RNAcentral lists this ribosomal RNA (404 nucleotides) under uncultured Pelotomaculum sp. Its description in RNAcentral is "bacterial SSU rRNA". It matches the Rfam family "Bacterial small subunit ribosomal RNA", at positions 356 to 774 of the family's 1533-position model. Lineage: Bacteria; Bacillati; Bacillota; Clostridia; Eubacteriales; Desulfotomaculaceae. The record is from RNAcentral.